CGCAGCCGCGGUAAUUCCAGCUCCAAUAGCGUAUAUUUAAGUUGUUGCAGUUAAAAGCUCGUAGUUGAAUUUCGGGGUCAGUAGGUCGGUCGUGCCACUGGUAUGAACUGGUCUCACUGAUUCCUCCCUCUUGUAGAACCGUGAUGCCAUUAAUUUGGUGUUGCGGGGAAACAGGACUGUUACUUUGAAAAAAUUAGAGUGUUUAAAGCAAGCUAACGCCUGAAUACAUUAGCAUGGAAUAAUGAAAUAGGACGUCGAUCUUAUUUUGUUGGUUUCUAGGGUUUGACGUAAUGAUUAAUAGGGAUAGUUGGGGGCAUUAGUAUUCAAUUGUCAGAGGUGAAAUUCUUGGAUUUAUUGAAGACUAACUACUGCGAAAGCAUUUGCCAAGGAUGUUUCCAUUAAUCAAGAACGAAAGUUAGGGGAUCGAAGACGAUCAGAUACCGUCGUAGU
This 450-nucleotide ribosomal RNA is filed under the name uncultured Glomeromycotina. RNAcentral's name for it is "SSU rRNA". It matches the Rfam family "Eukaryotic small subunit ribosomal RNA", at positions 569 to 1024 of the family's 1831-position model. Lineage: Eukaryota; Fungi; Glomeromycota. The record is from RNAcentral.